CUGCCCUCAAGCACGGCUUGUGUGUUGGGCCCCCCCGUCCCGGUUCUCCAGCCGGGACGGGCCCGAAAGGCGGCGGCGGCACCGUGUCCGGUCCUCGAGUGUAUGGGGCUCUGUCACCCACUCGUGUAGGCCCGGCCGGCGGCCAGCCUCUUCAACCAAACUUCUUUAACCAGG
Molecule: unclassified non-coding RNA, 174 nt
Filed under: uncultured Aspergillus
Lineage: Eukaryota; Fungi; Ascomycota; Eurotiomycetes; Eurotiales; Aspergillaceae
Description: sequence contains ITS2
Source: RNAcentral